Molecule: ribosomal RNA, 359 nt
Filed under: uncultured bacterium
Lineage: Bacteria
Description: bacterial SSU rRNA
Rfam family: Bacterial small subunit ribosomal RNA
Source: RNAcentral
AUUGAACGCUGGCGGCAUGCCUUACACAUGCAAGUCGAACGGCAGCACGGGGGCAACCCUGGUGGCGAGUGGCGAACGGGUGAGUAACACAUCGGAACGUGCCCAGUAGUGGGGGAUAGCUCGGCGAAAGCCGGAUUAAUACCGCAUACGACCUACGGGUGAAAGCGGGGGAUCGCAAGACCUCGCGCUAUCGGAGCGGCCGAUGUCAGAUUAGGUUGCUGGGGGGUAAAGGCCUACCAAGCCGACGAUCUGUAGCUGGUCUGAGAGGACGACCAGCCACACUGGGACUGAGACACGGCCCAGACUCCUACGGGAGGCAGCAGUGGGGAAUUUUGGACAAUGGGCGCAAGCCUGAUCCA